This 409-nucleotide ribosomal RNA is filed under the name uncultured bacterium. Its description in RNAcentral is "bacterial SSU rRNA". It matches the Rfam family "Bacterial small subunit ribosomal RNA", at positions 355 to 776 of the family's 1533-position model. The record is from RNAcentral.
UGGGGAAUAUUGCGCAAUGGGCGGAAGCCUGACGCAGCGACGCCGCGUGAGGGAUGACGGCCUUCGGGUUGUAAACCUCUUUCGGUAGGGACGAAGCGUGAGUGACGGUACCUACAGAAGAAGCGCCGGCCAACUACGUGCCAGCAGCCGCGGUAAGACGUAGGGCGCAAGCGUUGUCCGGAUUUAUUGGGCGUAAAGAGCUCGUAGGCGGCGUGUCGCGUCGUCCGUGAAAACCUGCAGCUUAACUGUGGGCGUGCGGUCGAUACGGGCAUGCUAGAGGCAGGUAGGGGAGAUCGGAAUUCCUGGUGUAGCGGUGAAAUGCGCAGAUAUCAGGAGGAACACCGGUGGCGAAGGCGGAUCUCUGGGCCUGUUCUGACGCUGAGGAGCGAAAGCGUGGGGAGCGAACAGG